RNAcentral lists this ribosomal RNA (274 nucleotides) under uncultured bacterium. RNAcentral's name for it is "partial 16S ribosomal RNA". It matches the Rfam family "Bacterial small subunit ribosomal RNA", at positions 523 to 796 of the family's 1533-position model. The record is from RNAcentral.
AUACAGAGGGUGCGAGCGUUAAUCGGAAUUACUGGGCGUAAAGCGCGCGUAGGCGGCUUAUUAAGUCAGAUGUGAAAUCCCCGGGCUCAACCUGGGAACUGCAUCUGAUACUGGGUAGCUAGAGUUUUGGAGAGGGAAGUAGAAUUUCAGGUGUAGCGGUGAAAUGCAUAGAGAUCUGAAGGAAUACCAGUGGCGAAGGCGACUUCCUGGCCAAAAACUGACGCUGAGGUGCGAAAGCGUGGGUAGCAAACGGGAUUAGAAACCCUAGUAGUCC